AGACGAUCUGAGUGGGACUUGAAUUUUGUUUGGGAAACGAUAAAAAGUUGAGAAGUCUCUCAGCAUAAUUCAUGAGAAGGCAGAUCAUUUUUGUGAGCCUCAGGAGCUGAAACAGGUGAAAAGGUCGCCCGAGGGCAACAAGUGGGCCCGACGGCCGCAUGAACUGGACGAAAUGGGUGUCAAAAGGUUGUCUAUCUAAUAUAACAGCGAUUAAAUUUCCUCCCGCAAAUUAUCCUCCACAACCUUUUAGUGUCAGUCGUCCCCGUGGCCGACUGGGACGCUUUCUGCACGACUUCUCAGAAUUAGAAUUUGCGAUUGCAACCUGUGCAGCCCCCUCCUCCCCUCCCUCCCUCUGUGCGCUGCCUUUUUGAUUGAACAGCCCCCCGACUGGCAGGGAGUCGUGACAAAAAGCUGCACUGAUUUCUCGGACAGGUCGUUUGCAGCGGCGCUCGGGUCUUUGAGCGCGAUAAAUGGGAACUUCACAGUUAAUUUCCUCGACAGUUUCUGGGGCGACUCCGACAAGCCCGAGCAUUGAGAUUCUGACGGGGUAAACUCGCAGACUCUCUACUAAUAAUCUCCUCUCAUCCGCAGAUGUACGAGUUCCCCUCUGAUAAGGCCGCAGGAACAGGGAUCAAUAAAUCAAUCUGUUCAAUAAUUAGGGAGAUAAGAAGAGCGGCGAGGCAGAGAGAGUUUUAGUGCAUUCUCAAUGAAGUUUUUGUGACACGCUAUCAUCAAAAGUUUUCUCCAGAACUUCUUGGAUGCUUCAGUCCAUUUUAUUUUCCAACACAUUCUUGUAAAACCGACAUGUUUUUUUAAACUAACUUUGUGAUCAAAGUAAAUCCAAUAAGCUCAGUAAACUCUCAGGUGAUCUUUCAGAGCCUCUCAGCCAUAAAGUGGAUCAAAAUGUGAUUAAUAUUUGGAACCUGCUGCUGCAUUGCUCAUUAGCUCUCAGGUAUGCUGCCUGCCGCGCGGGCCUGCAGGCAGAAAUGAUGUGUAUCAUUACCAGUAAUGUCUGUGCUGAAGCUCUUGAAAUUCUAUCAUCCACGCUUUGUGUUUCUGCUGCAGUUAAAACAGAUCUGUAAGUGUCAGAUAGUUUUUUUUUUCUUAUAUGCCUUUUUAAUAAGCCGCAGCAAAGUUACAGAGCAUCCUUCAGCCUGAGGGGACACGCUUUGAUUCCAAUUACCACCUUUACACAAAAAGAGGAUUAUGUUUUUUUUUUCUUUUUUGGAAAACUACUCCAAAUCCAGGUAUCUUUUGAAGAAAAAGAAAUAUAUUUGAGUGCAGAAUGAAUUCACCGUGCCUCUGUAAAUAAAUUAAAAUUCGCCCUCAGCGAGCUCAUUGAAUCCAUCUCCAGUGGAGAGGUGUGGAUAUUGGAAAGAAAGCAGAACGGAUUUUUAUGAAAUUUCUGGAAGUUUGUGGAAGCCUGCUGAUACGUGUGGAAGUAUUUAUGCAACACAUAUGUACAAUCAAACGUAUUUGUAUGAUCGAAUGAGCAGAAAGAAACAAUCAGUAUCAACAUUUUUAUUUUUUAAAGCCCACAGAUCUGAUCUGUUGAUGUAGAGCGUCUCCCAUCGCCACCAGUGAGGAUAACUCAACAGCCGACUCUAUUUUUCAGUUUUCCAUGUGCGCUCACUGCCCUCUAGUGUCAGCAAACCCGAACAGUGAUGGAGUCAGUCUGGGCUUUCUGCAAGCUGCUUGGCGCCGAGGGUUGUGUUUUUUCGCUGUGCAAGCAAAUCCCUGCUGUAGCAAGAAAGCUUUGGCUAAACUGAGCACGGUCAUUGUUGUAAUCUUUGAGGCUGAGAGGAUUCUCCGCGUGAACCUUCACAUCCAGCCCUCUCAGAUGGAGACACUCUGUGGUGUGAAGUAUAAAUACUUUGGAAACCGGAAGUACCGCCCCUUUUCAUCCCCUCUCUGGCAGACUGACUUCCAGUCCGCUGACACGGCGUCAUG
Long non-coding RNA from Oryzias melastigma (Indian medaka), 1950 nucleotides. RefSeq lists it as uncharacterized. The record is from RefSeq and is a predicted model, not a curated record. The transcript is spliced from 3 exons. Lineage: Eukaryota; Metazoa; Chordata; Actinopteri; Beloniformes; Adrianichthyidae.